GGUGCGGNAUUUCUGGUGUAGCGGUGAAAUGCGUAGAUAUCAGAAAGAACACCNAUGGCGAAGGCAGCCACCUGGGCCAAUACUGACGCUGAGGUACGAAAGCGUGGGGAGCAAACAGGAUUAGAUACCCUGGUAGUCCACGCCCUAAACGAUGUCUACUUGUCGUCGGGAGGGNNNNNCUUUCGGUGACGGACGUAACGCAUUAAGUAGACCGCCUGGGGAGUACGGCCGCAAG
This 235-nucleotide ribosomal RNA is filed under the name Halothiobacillus neapolitanus. RNAcentral's name for it is "16S ribosomal RNA". It matches the Rfam family "Bacterial small subunit ribosomal RNA", at positions 657 to 892 of the family's 1533-position model. The record is from RNAcentral. Lineage: Bacteria; Pseudomonadati; Pseudomonadota; Gammaproteobacteria; Chromatiales; Halothiobacillaceae.